Long non-coding RNA from Acanthochromis polyacanthus (spiny chromis), 2087 nucleotides. RefSeq lists it as uncharacterized. The record is from RefSeq and is a predicted model, not a curated record. The transcript is spliced from 5 exons. NCBI's taxonomy places the organism in Eukaryota, Metazoa, Chordata, Actinopteri, Pomacentridae.
UAAAGUACAGGUAACAAUCUAAAAGUUCAGGUGACAGCCUAAAAGUUCAGGUAACAACCUAAAAGUAGAGGUAACAGCCUCAAAGUACAGGUAACAGCCUAAAAGUUCAGGUAACAGCCUAAAAGUUCAGGUAACAAUCUAAAAGUUCAGGUAACAGCCUAAAAGUUCAGGUAACAGCCUUAAAGUACAGGUAACAACCUAAAAGUACAGGUAACAACCUAAAAGUACAGGUAACAACCUUAAAGUACAGGUAACAACCUAAAAGUAGAGGUAACAGCCUAAAAGUACAGGUAACAAUCUAAAAGUUCAGGUAACAACCUAAAAGUACAGGUAACAAUCUUAAAGUAGAGGUAACAACCUAAAAGUACAGGUAACAACCUUAAAGUAGAGGUAACAACCUUAAAGUACAGGUAACAACCUUAAAGUACAGGUAACAACCUUAAAGUACAGGUAACAACAUAAAAGUACAGGUAACAACCUAAAAGUAGAGGUAACAACCUAAAAGUUCAGGUAACAACAUAAAAGUACAGAUAACAAUCUUAAAGUAGAGGUAACAACCUUAAAGUACAGGUAACAACCUUAAAGUACAGGUAACAACCUUAAAGUACAGGUAACAACAUAAAAGUACAGGUAACAACCUUAAAGUAGAGGUAACAACCUAAAAGUUCAGGUAACAACCUAAAAGUACAGGUAACAAUCUUAAAGUAGAGGUAACAACCUUAAAGUACAGGUAACAACCUUAAAGUACAGGUAACAACCUUAAAGUACAGGUAACAACAUAAAAGUACAGGUAACAACCUUAAAGUAGAGGUAACAACCUAAAAGUUCAGGUAACAACAUAAAAGUACAGAUAACAACCUUAAAGUACAGGUAACAACCUAAAAGUACAGGUAACAACCUAAAAGUUCAGGUAACAACAUAAAAGUACAGGUAACAACCUAAAAGUUCAGGUAACAACAUAAAAGUACAGGUAACAACCUAAAAGUUCAGGUAACAACCUAAAAGUUCAGGUAACAACAUAAAAGUAGAGGUAACAACCUAAAAGUACAGAUAACAACCUAAAAGUUCAGGUAACAACCUUAAAGUACAGGUAACAACCUUAAAGUACAGGUAACAACAUAAAAGUACAGAUAACAACCUUAAAGUACAUCUAACAACCUAAAAGUACAGAUAACAACCUUAAAGUACAUCUAACAACCUAAAAGUACAGGUAACAACCUUAAAGUACAGGUAACAACAUAAAAGUACAGGUAACAACCUUAAAGUACAGGUAACAACCUAAAAGUUCAGGUAACAACCUUAAAGUACAGGUAACAACCUAAAAGUUCAGGUAACAAUCUAAAAGUUCAGGUAACAACAUAAAAGUUCAGGUAACAACCUAAAAGUUCAGGUAACAACCUAAAAGUACAGGUAACAACCUUAAAGUAGAGGUAACAACCUAAAAGUACAGGUAACAACCUAAAAGUUCAGGUAACAACCUAAAAGUACAGGUAACAACCUUAAAGUAGAGGUAACAACCUAAAAGUACAGGUAACAACCUUAAAGUAGAGGUAACAACCUAAAAGUUCAGGUAACAACCUUAAAGUAGAGGUAACAACCUUAAAGUACAGGUAACAACCUUAAAGUAGAGGUAACAACCUUAAAGUAGAGGUAACAACAUAAAAGUACAGGUAACAACCUAAAAGUACAGCUAACAACCUUAAAGUAGAGGUAACAACCUAAAAGUUCAGGUAACAACCUUAAAGUAGAGGUAACAACCUUAAAGUAGAGGUAACAACAUAAAAGUACAGGUAACAACCUUAAAGUAGAGGUAACAACCUUAAAGUAGAGGUAACAACCUAAAAGUUCAGGUAACAACCUAAAAGUACAGGUAACAACCUUAAAGUACAGGUAACAACCUAAAAGUUCAGGUAACAACCUAAAAGUACAGGUAACAACCUAAAAGUACAGGUAACAACCUAAAAGUUCAGGUAACAACAUAAAAGUACAGGUAACAAACUUAAAGUAGAGGCGACCUUAACGCCUGUAGAGGCUCAGACUUUGUGCUGCAGCUCAGCAGUCUGAACAUUCUGCUGAUAAUGAGUCCU